GUAGAUAUGUAUAGGGGGAAGGAGACAGGGAUACUAGAGUGAUGGAGGUAGAUAUGUAUAGGGGGAAGGAGACAGGGAUACUAGAGUGAUGGAGGUAGAUAUGUAUAGGGGGAAGGAGACAGGGAUACUGGAGUGAUGGAGGUAGAUAUGUAUAGGGGGAAGGAGACAGGGAUACUAGAGUGAUGGAGGUAGAUAUGUAUAGGGGGAAGGAGACAGGGAUACUGGGGUGAUGGAGGUAGAUAUGUAUAGGGGUAAGGUGACAGGGAUACUGGAGUGAUGGAGGUAGAUAUGUAUAGGGGGAAGGAGACAGGGAUACUGGAGUGAUGGAGGUAGAUAUGUAUAGGGGGAAGGUGACAGGGAUACUGGAGUGAUGGA
Molecule: long non-coding RNA, 375 nt
Organism: Oncorhynchus keta (chum salmon)
Lineage: Eukaryota; Metazoa; Chordata; Actinopteri; Salmoniformes; Salmonidae
Exons: 4
Source: RefSeq, a predicted model, not a curated record